This 26-nucleotide transfer RNA is filed under the name Anolis cybotes (large-headed anole). RNAcentral's name for it is "partial tRNA-Asx". The record is from RNAcentral. Lineage: Eukaryota; Metazoa; Chordata; Lepidosauria; Squamata; Anolidae.
CUGAAUAGGCGGGCCUCGAUCCUGCG